RNAcentral lists this ribosomal RNA (429 nucleotides) under Actinomycetes bacterium. RNAcentral describes it as "Actinobacteria bacterium partial 16S ribosomal RNA". It matches the Rfam family "Bacterial small subunit ribosomal RNA", at positions 355 to 776 of the family's 1533-position model. Lineage: Bacteria; Bacillati; Actinomycetota; Actinomycetes. The record is from RNAcentral.
UAGGGAAUCUUCCGCAAUGGGCGAAAGCCUGACGGAGCAACGCCGCGUGAGUGAUGAAGGUCUUCGGAUCGUAAAACUCUGUUAUUAGGGAAGAACAAAUGUGUAAGUAACUAUGCACGUCUUGACGGUACCUAAUCAGAAAGCCACGGCUAACUACGUGCCAGCAGCCGCGGUAAUACGUAGGUGGCAAGCGUUAUCCGGAAUUAUUGGGCGUAAAGCGCGCGUAGGCGGUUUUUUAAGUCUGAUGUGAAAGCCCACGGCUCAACCGUGGAGGGUCAUUGGAAACUGGAAAACUUGAGUGCAGAAGAGGAAAGUGGAAUUCCAUGUGUAGCGGUGAAAUGUGCAGAGAUAUGGAGGAACACCAGUGGCGAAGGCGACUUUCUGGUCUGUAACUGACGCUGAUGCGCGAAAGCGUGGGGAUCAAACAGG